This 77-nucleotide transfer RNA is filed under the name Citrobacter freundii. RNAcentral describes it as "tRNA-Asp". It matches the Rfam family "tRNA". From Rfam's summary of the family: Transfer RNA (tRNA) molecules are approximately 80 nucleotides in length. The record is from RNAcentral. RNAcentral also lists the same sequence under 3 other names. Lineage: Bacteria; Pseudomonadati; Pseudomonadota; Gammaproteobacteria; Enterobacterales; Enterobacteriaceae.
GGAGUGGUAGUUCAGUUGGUUAGAAUACCUGCCUGUCACGCAGGGGGGCGCGGGUUCGAGUCCCGUCCAUUCCGCCA